ACGGAGGAUGCAAGCGUUAUCCGGAAUGAUUGGGCGUAAAGGGUCCGCAGGUGGCAGUGUAAGUCUGCUGUCAAAGAAUGAGGCUUAACCUCAUCAAGGCAGUGGAAACUACACAGCUAGAGUACGGUCGGGGUAGAAGGAAUUCCUGGUGUAGCGGUGAAAUGCGUAGAGAUCAGGAAGAACACCGGUGGCGAAAGCGGCCUGCUGGGCUGUUGCUGACGCUGAGGCGCGACAGCGUGGGGAGCAAACAGGA
RNAcentral lists this ribosomal RNA (253 nucleotides) under uncultured prokaryote. RNAcentral's name for it is "partial 16S ribosomal RNA". It matches the Rfam family "Bacterial small subunit ribosomal RNA", at positions 525 to 777 of the family's 1533-position model. The record is from RNAcentral.